GCCUUCGUGGUGUAGUGAUCAGCACACUUAACCUGUAACCGAGAGGUCCGUGGUUCGAUUACCGGCGAAGGCG
RNAcentral lists this transfer RNA (73 nucleotides) under Stegodyphus mimosarum. It matches the Rfam family "tRNA". From Rfam's summary of the family: Transfer RNA (tRNA) molecules are approximately 80 nucleotides in length. Lineage: Eukaryota; Metazoa; Arthropoda; Arachnida; Araneae; Eresidae. The record is from Rfam by way of RNAcentral.